AACUUAGUUAAAGUAGCAGGUAGAUGAAAAAGGAAGGAUGAUAUAAAAAUGCAUCAGAGGCAUUUUUGACAAAAAGGGUGUACUAGAAAAACUCCUCUUUUCACAUCCUAACAAAAAUGGAGAGUUUGAAAUCCUAACAUGCAAACCCCUUUUGGAAACGAAAAUGAUGAUCACCGGUGCAUAUUGUGCGCUAACCCGUAACCCCCUUCUGCUAUCCCGCUCCUUCAACAUUUUUCCUAAACCCACCCCCCUUCAAUUUCCAACUACACCCUCUCCUUCGUUUCCUUCAUUUAACCGCUUUCCAUCUCUCUUCCCUCAACUGUGCAUCCGUCAUUCUCGCCUCUCCACCCUCCCUCAUAAUGACUCCGGCGGAUUUGGCGGUGAUAGUGGCUCUGGAGGAUGGGAUCCCGGCGACAAUGAUUCCGAUGACGGAGGCGGAAAAUGGUCAUUCUUGUCAUGCAUUGCGAAGAAGACCGAGCCUAUGAACACACUGGCAUCAUCUGUUUGGUGGGUUUUUGUAUUUAGUUCUAUUGUUGUCGGUGGUCAAGCUCUUGUGGAAGCUCCUUUUCUCCUCCUCUGGUUUAGUCAGCCAAAUGUAAUGAUUAUGGUUGAUAAGAACAAGAAGCAACUUGAUGAAGCAAGAAUUGGUUCGCACAAUCAAAGCCAUAUCAGUGAACUAUCUCUUCAUCCAGAUGAUUCUGAGUGUUGUAUAUGCCUCUGUUCAUAUGUUGAUGGAACAGAACUGUAUCGCCUUCCAUGUACCCACCAUUUUCAUUGCGAAUGCAUCAGUCGUUGGCUUCGGACAAAAGCAACUUGCCCACUCUGCAAAUUUAAUAUCCGAAGAGGUGAUAUAUUGGUUUGAUAUUUCGUUGAUAAAGACUAGAUAGCACUGAGGUGAAGUAUCACUUAAAUGGGACAUGACAGUGGAGAACCAAAAUAUUUGCUAAUCUGCUGACUAGUGUUGGUACAUAAGUUGAAAACAAGAAGGAAAUGCCCCACCCUCUCAUCUUUGUCUUUGAAUUCUAGUUUCCUUAGAGCAUUGCGAAGAAGACCGAGCCUAUGAAUACACUGGUAUUAUCUGCUUUCUUGGUUUUUGGAUUUUCUUGUAUUGUUGUUGGUGGUCAAGCUCUUGUGGAAGUUCCUUUUCUCCUCUUCGGGUUAACAAUGGUCUGUCUAUCCCUUAACGAGUUUUUUGAUGCUGUCUUUUCCUUUUGGAUAUAUUUGAUAGUUUUCGGUGCUCUCUUCUGCAUUGUCCAAAUAAUAGCGUUAGCUUAUGCUUUAACGCAACCUUUAAGAAUCAGAGAAGGUGCUUCAGAAGAUGAUAUCAAGUCACUUCCUAUGUAUAGGUUUUGUCAGCCAAAUGUAAUGAUUAUGGUUGAUAAGAACAAGACACAACUGGAAGCAAGAACUGGUUCCCACAAUCGUAGCCAUAUCAGUGAACUAUCUCUUCAUCCAGACGAUUCUGAGUGCUGUAUCUGCCUAUGUCCAUAUGUUGAUGGAACAGAACUAUAUCGCCUUCCAUGUACCCACCAUUUUCAUUGUGAAUGCAUCGGUCGUUGGCUUCGGACAAAAGCAACUUGUCCACUCUGCAAAUUUAAUAUUCGAAUAGGCGAUAUAAUGGUUUGAUAUUUUGUUGAUUAAGACUAAAUGGCACUGAGGUGAAGUAUCACUUGAAAGGGACAUGACAGUGGAGAACCAAAAUAUUUGGUAAUAUGCUGACUACUGUUGGUAUAUAAGUAGAAAAGAAAAAGGAAAUUCCCCACCCUUUCAUCUUUGGGUUUUUGUUUCCAUAGAGGUAAUUUAACUUUUUAACCGGUCGUAAGACCAUCCACAACAGAGCACCCAAAAGUGGGUGCUUAAAUGGGUCAUCUGGGUCCCUAUCAUUAAUUUUACCAUAUGCGGAGAUGAUUUGGCACAGACAGGUUCCUUUGAAGGUAUCCGUCUUUGCUUGGCGGCUUCUUCGUGAUCGGUUGCCUACCAAAUCGAAUCUGAUCUAUAGAGGUGUAAUUCCAACAGAAGCUGGUUUGUGUGUUUCUGGUUGCGGUGCCUUGGAAUCGGCACAACAUUUGUUUCUCUCUUGUUCGUAUUUUGCUUCACUUUGGUCGUUGGUUCGUGAUUGGAUUGGUUUUGUUGGAGUGGACACUAAUGUUUUGUCUGAUCACUUUGUUCAGUUUGUUCACUCAACAGGUGGCAAUAAGGCUUCUCAGUCUUUUCUCCAGCUUAUUUGGCUUCUUUGUGCCUGGGUUUUAUGGACUGAACGUAACAAUAUGUGUUUCAAUGAUUCUAUUACUCCUUUACCCAGGUUGCUUGACAAAGUUAAAUAUUUGUCUCUAGGUUGGUUGAAAGCUAGAAACGCUUCUUUUUUGUUUGGCACUUUUAGUUGGUGGUCAAACCCGUUACAAUGUUUGGGUAUUGGCUAACUUGUUUUUGUUGUUGUACUGAACUCUGUAGUAGUCUUUGUGGCACAUCUUGUGCUAUUGAGACUCUUGUUGUUAAUAUUAUUUCAUUUUUGAUUGUUCAAA
This is an RNA transcript of Medicago truncatula (barrel medic), 2522 nucleotides long. It is a transcript of the gene named E3 ubiquitin-protein ligase At4g11680, with no coding region annotated. The transcript is spliced from 7 exons. The record is from RefSeq and is a predicted model, not a curated record. Lineage: Eukaryota; Viridiplantae; Streptophyta; Magnoliopsida; Fabales; Fabaceae.